RNAcentral lists this ribosomal RNA (253 nucleotides) under uncultured bacterium. RNAcentral's name for it is "partial 16S ribosomal RNA". It matches the Rfam family "Bacterial small subunit ribosomal RNA", at positions 524 to 776 of the family's 1533-position model. The record is from RNAcentral.
UACGAAGGGGACUAGCGUUGUUCGGAUUUACUGGGCGUAAAGCGCGCGUAGGCGGAUCGCUAAGUCAGGGGUGAAAUCCCAAGGCUCAACCUUGGAACUGCCUUUGAUACUAACGAUCUAAAGAUCGAAAGAAAUAAAUAGAAUUCCGAGUGUAGAAGUAAAAUUCGUAGAUAUUCGGAGGAACACCAGAAGCGAAGGCGGCUCACUGGCCCGAUACUGACGCUGAGGCGCGAAAGCGUGGGGAGCAAACAGG